CCUACGGUGGGCUGCAGUGAGGAAUAUUGGUCAAUGGGCGCGAGCCUGAACCAGCCAAGUCGCGUGAGGGAAGACGGUCCUAUGGAUUGUAAACCUCUUUUGUCGGGGAGCAAAAGACGCCACGCGUGGCGUUCCGAGAUUACCCGAAGAAAAAGCAUCGGCUAACUCCGUGCCAGCAGCCGCGGUAAUACGGAGGAUGCGAGAGUUAUCCGGAUUUAUGGGGUUUAAAGGGUGCGCAGGCGGAAGAUCAAGUCAGGGGUAAAAUUGAGAGGCUCAACCUCUUCGAGCCGUUGAAACUGGUCUUCUUGAGUGAGUGAGAAGUAUGCGGAAUGCGUGGUGUAGCGGUGAAAUGCAUAGAUAUCACGCAGAACACCGAUUGCGAAGGCAGCAUACCGGCGCUCAACUGACGCUCAUGCACGAAAGUGUGGGUAUCGAACAGGAUUAGAUACCCUUGUAGUC
This 459-nucleotide ribosomal RNA is filed under the name uncultured bacterium. RNAcentral describes it as "partial 16S ribosomal RNA". It matches the Rfam family "Bacterial small subunit ribosomal RNA", at positions 338 to 795 of the family's 1533-position model. The record is from RNAcentral.